GAUCAAGCGUUUAAGGGCUUCUGACGGAUGCCUUGGCGUAGAGAGGCGGUGAGGGGGGUGGGAAGGUGGGAUAAGAGGCGGGGGGGCGGUAGCACCCGUUGAUUGGGCUAUUUCCGAAUGGGGAAAAUCAACUUUAUAGUCUUACAUCUU
RNAcentral lists this ribosomal RNA (150 nucleotides) under Sulfolobus sp. A20-N-F6. RNAcentral's name for it is "partial 23S ribosomal RNA". Lineage: Archaea; Thermoproteati; Thermoproteota; Thermoprotei; Sulfolobales; Sulfolobaceae. The record is from RNAcentral.